CAGGCUUAACACAUGCAAGUCGAGGGGCAUCAGGAAGAAAGCUUGCUUUCUUUGCUGGCGACCGGCGCACGGGUGAGUAACACGUAUCCAACCUGCCCUUUACUCGGGGAUAGCCUUUCGAAAGAAAGAUUAAUACCCGAUAGCAUAAUGAUUCCGCAUGGUUUCAUUAUUAAAGGAUUCCGGUAAAGGAUGGGGAUGCGUUCCAUUAGGUUGUUGGUGAGGUAACGGCCCACCAAGCCUUCGAUGGAUAGGGGUUCUGAGAGGAAGGUCCCCCACAUUGGAACUGAGACACGGUCCAAACUCCUACGGGAGGCAGCAGUGAGGAAUAUUGGUCAAUGGGCGCUAGCCUGAACCAGCCAAGUAGCGUGAAGGAUGAAGGCUCUAUGGGUCGUAAACUUCUUUUAUAUAAGAAUAAAGUGCAGUAUGUAUACUGUUUUGUAUGUAUUAUAUGAAUAAGGAUCGGCUAACUCCGUGCCAGCAGCCGCGGUAAUACGGAGGAUCCGAGCGUUAUCCGGAUUUAUUGGGUUUAAAGGGAGCGUAGGUGGACUGGUAAGUCAGUUGUGAAAGUUUGCGGCUCAACCGUAAAAUUGCAGUUGAUACUGUCAGUCUUGAGUACAGUAGAGGUGGGCGGAAUUCGUGGUGUAGCGGUGAAAUGCUUAGAUAUCACGAAGAACUCCGAUUGCGAAGGCAGCUCACUGGACUGCAACUGACACUGAUGCUCGAAAGUGUGGGUAUCAAACAGGAUUAGAUACCCUGGUAGUCCACACAGUAAACGAUGAAUACUCGCUGUUUGCGAUAUACAGUAAGCGGCCAAGCGAAAGCAUUAAGUAUUCCACCUGGGGAGUACGCCGGCAACGGUGAAACUCAAAGGAAUUGACGGGGGCCCGCACAAGCGGAGGAACAUGUGGUUUAAUUCGAUGAUACGCGAGGAACCUUACCCGGGCUUAAAUUGCAGUGGAAUGAUGUGGAAACAUGUCAGUGAGCAAUCACCGCUGUGAAGGUGCUGCAUGGUUGUCGUCAGCUCGUGCCGUGAGGUGUCGGCUUAAGUGCCAUAACGAGCGCAACCCUUAUCUUUAGUUACUAACAGGUUAUGCUGAGGACUCUAGGGAGACUGCCGUCGUAAGAUGUGAGGAAGGUGGGGAUGACGUCAAAUCAGCACGGCCCUUACGUCCGGGGCUACACACGUGUUACAAUGGGGGGUACAGAAGGCAGCUAGCGGGUGACCGUAUGCUAAUCCCAAAAUCCUCUCUCAGUUCGGAUCGAAGUCUGCAACCCGACUUCGUGAAGCUGGAUUCGCUAGUAAUCGCGCAUCAGCCACGGCGCGGUGAAUACGUUCCCGGGCCUUGUACACACCGCCCGUCAAGCCAUGGGAGCCGGGGGUACCUGAAGUACGUAACCGCAAGGAUCGUCCUAGGGUAAAACUGGUGACUGGGGCUA
This 1437-nucleotide ribosomal RNA is filed under the name uncultured organism. RNAcentral describes it as "16S ribosomal RNA". It matches the Rfam family "Bacterial small subunit ribosomal RNA". The record is from RNAcentral.